AGUUUGAUCCUGUGCUCAAGAUGAACGCUAACGAUAGGCUUUAUACAUGCUAGUCAAGGGGCACCACAAAGGAAGUAUCAAUACUUAUUUGGUGGCGACCGGCGCACGGGUGAUUAACGCGUAUGCUACCUACCUACUACUUUGGUAUAUCUCGUUGAAAGACUAAUUAAUACCUUAUAAUAUAGGGGCUCCGCAUGGAGAGAUUAGUAAAAGAUUUAUCGGUAGUAGAUGGGCAUGCGUUCCAUUACUUACUUGGUGAGGUAACGGCUCACCAAUACAUCGAUGGAUAUGGGAACUGAGAGGUUUUACCCCCACACUGCAACUGAGACACAGUCCAGACUCCUACGGGAUGCAGCCAGUGAUGAAUAUUGGUCCAUGGAGGGAACUCUGAACCAUCCAAGUCUCGUGAAUGAUGACUGCCCUACGGGUUGUACACUUCUUUUUUAAGGGAAUAAAGUGAUCCACCUGUGGCUUUGUGCAUGUACCUUACCAAUAAGGAUCGGCUAACUCCGUGCCACCACCCGCGGUGAUACGGAGGAUCCUAACGUUAUCCGGAUUUAUUGGGUUUAAAGGGUGCGCAUGCGGACUAUUAAGUCGGCGGUGACAGUCUGCAGUUUAACUGUAGAAUUGCCGUCGAUACUGGUAUUCUCGAGUGUAUUUGAAGUAUGCAGAAUCUGUAGUGUAACGGUGAAAUGCAUAUAUAUCACCACGAACUCCGAUUGCGAAGGCAGCUUACUAAACUACUACUGACGCUCAUGCACGAAGGCGUGGGGAUCAUACAGGAUUAGAUACACUGGUAGUCCACGCAGUAAACUAUGAUAACUCGCUGUUUGCGAUACACAGUAAGCGGCUUAGCGAAAGCGUUAAGUAAUCCACCUGGGGAGUACGUUCGCAAGAAUGAAACUCAAAGGAAUUGACGGGGGCCCGCACAAGCGGAGGAACAUGUGGUUUAAUUCGAUGAUACGCGAGGAACCUUACCCGGGCUUGAAAUGAUAUUGACCGGCUCAGAGACGAGUCUUCCCUUCGGGGCAAUAGUGUAGGUGCUGCAUGGUUGUCGUCAGCUCGUGCCGUGAGGUGUCGGAUUAAGUGCCAUAACGAGCGCAACCCUCAUCAUUAGUUGUUAACAGGUUAAGCUGAGGACUCUAAUGAGACUGCCAUCGUAAGAUGAGAGGAAGGUGGGGAUGACGUCAAAUCAGCACGGCCCUUAUGUCCGGGGCGACACACGUGUUACAAUGGAUGGUACAACAGGCAGAUACUAGGCGACAAGAUGAUAAUCCCAAAAACCAUUAUCAGUUCGGAUCGAAGUCUGCAAUUAGAAUUAGUGAAGUUGGAUUCGCUAGUAAUCGAGCAUCAGCCACGGCGCGGUGAAUACGUUCCCGGCCUUUGUACACGCCGCCCGU
RNAcentral lists this ribosomal RNA (1400 nucleotides) under uncultured bacterium. RNAcentral describes it as "16S ribosomal RNA". It matches the Rfam family "Bacterial small subunit ribosomal RNA". The record is from RNAcentral.